This 216-nucleotide unclassified non-coding RNA is filed under the name soil metagenome. RNAcentral describes it as "partial contains 5.8S ribosomal RNA, internal transcribed spacer 2, and large subunit ribosomal RNA". The record is from RNAcentral.
AAGACUAUAGACCUGCGGAGUACCUGCGGAGGGAUCAUUACAGAGUUAUCAAACUCCAAAACCCUUUGUAAAUUUACCUAUUGUUUCUUCGGCAGGUGGUCCCUGGGAGGGUCCUGUAGCCUUAUUUUAGGUACCUGCUGAAGGUCAUAACUCGGUUCUAUAUUUUGUUUCUAAGUUACUAUUAAAAUAAGUCAAAACUUUCAACAACGGAUCUCU